RNAcentral lists this long non-coding RNA (843 nucleotides) under Medicago truncatula (barrel medic). RNAcentral's name for it is "lncRNA gene6843". The record is from RNAcentral. Lineage: Eukaryota; Viridiplantae; Streptophyta; Magnoliopsida; Fabales; Fabaceae.
UUCUCUCUCUAGGUUAACAAUUUUUCUCCUCCCUUUCUCUAGAAUUCGCCCCUCACCCACCCAAAAUCCUAACUUCAUCAAAUUCACAAUUCAUCAUGGAAUCAUCAUGGUACAUGCUUUAAUAGGUUCCUAGUAGAGUUUUAACCAAGAAACUAGUUUAAUAAUCACUUCUCCUCCCUCCAAUUGCUCAACCGCCCCUCUUUCUCUCAUUUUCCAAGUUCAUAAUCUUUCCUCCAAUUCCAUGGAAAUCAUCAAGUAAACUUGUUUUUGGAAUACCCAUGAUGGAUAGCUACUAGGUUGUGGGUGAUUAUGGUAAUGACUUGUUUUGAUGCUUGAGGAGCUUAGGAAUCAUCAUUCAAGGUUAAUUACGGAAGCCCUCAUGGUUGAGCGUGAAGUUGGUUGAGGUUUGAAAUGCAAAAGUGAGACGAGCCUAUGUUAUUUUAAAGGAUUAAAGGAAUAUUGUUGAAUCAUCUAUUACGGCCCAAAUAUGGAAGGUAACCAUACUUUGUCUGUUAUUCUAGUCGAUCGUUGGGAACAUCCUCCAUGGUGGCUUUGUUAAAAUAAACAUGAAUGGUAGUUGUUUGAAUAACACAUCAAUUAUUGACUCUGGGUUGUCUCAUAAGAUGUUCCAAGGGUUGACGAUGUUUGUGACAUUUUGCUAGUGGAAAUUCUGGGUAUUCUAGUGUAUGAUACUGACUCCAUGGAUGAAGUGAAAUUGAUCAUGGAUAUAGACACCACAUAUUCCAUAGUUAUGUAUUGUGUUGGAUCAAAUUGGGAGAAGUUGUUUGAUUGUGAUUGAAUUUUCUCAUGUUUUUGCAAGGCAAACAACUGCAAUAACUUAUU